Molecule: ribosomal RNA, 157 nt
Filed under: uncultured Aggregatibacter sp.
Lineage: Bacteria; Pseudomonadati; Pseudomonadota; Gammaproteobacteria; Pasteurellales; Pasteurellaceae
Description: partial 16S ribosomal RNA
Rfam family: Bacterial small subunit ribosomal RNA
Source: RNAcentral
UGGGGGCAACCCUGACGCAGCCGUGCCGCGUGAAUGAAGAAGGCCUCGGUUGUAAGUUCUUUCGGUGACGAGGAAGGCGUGAUGUUUAAUAGGCAUCACGAUUGACGUUAAUCACAGAAGAAGCACCGGCUAACUCCGUGCCAGCAGCCGCGGUAAU